This 301-nucleotide ribosomal RNA is filed under the name uncultured bacterium. RNAcentral describes it as "partial 16S ribosomal RNA". It matches the Rfam family "Bacterial small subunit ribosomal RNA", at positions 509 to 807 of the family's 1533-position model. The record is from RNAcentral.
CAGUCGCCGCGGUAAUACGUAGGUGGCAAGCGUUGUCCGGAAUUAUUGGGCGUAAAGGGCUCGCAGGCGGUUUCUUAAGUCUGAUGUGAAAGCCCCCGGCUCAACCGGGGAGGGUCAUUGGAAACUGGGAAACUUGAGUGCAGAAGAGGAGGGUGGAGUUCCACGUGUAGCGGUGAAAUGCGUAGAGAUAUGGAGGAACACCAGUGGCGAAAGCGACUCUCUGGUCUGUAACUGACGCUGAGGAGCGAAAGCGUGGGGAGCGAACAGGAUUAGAUACCCCAGUAGUCCCUGUCUCUUAUAC